This 424-nucleotide ribosomal RNA is filed under the name uncultured bacterium. RNAcentral's name for it is "bacterial SSU rRNA". It matches the Rfam family "Bacterial small subunit ribosomal RNA", at positions 355 to 776 of the family's 1533-position model. The record is from RNAcentral.
UGAGGAAUAUUGGUCAAUGGGCGAGAGCCUGAACCAGCCAAGUAGCGUGAAGGAUGAAGGCUCUAUGGGUCGUAAACUUCUUUUAUAUGGGAAUAAAGUUUUCCACGUGUGGAAUUUUGUAUGUACCAUAUGAAUAAGGAUCGGCUAACUCCGUGCCAGCAGCCGCGGUAAUACGGAGGAUCCGAGCGUUAUCCGGAUUUAUUGGGUUUAAAGGGAGCGUAGGUGGAUUGUUAAGUCAGUUGUGAAAGUUUGCGGCUCAACCGUAAAAUUGCAGUUGAAACUGGCAGUCUUGAGUACAGUAGAGGUGGGCGGAAUUCGUGGUGUAGCGGUGAAAUGCUUAGAUAUCACGAAGAACUCCGAUUGCGAAGGCAGCUCACUAGACUGUCACUGACACUGAUGCUCGAAAGUGUGGGUAUCAAACAGG